Long non-coding RNA from Phascolarctos cinereus (koala), 1885 nucleotides. Lineage: Eukaryota; Metazoa; Chordata; Mammalia; Diprotodontia; Phascolarctidae. The record is from Ensembl.
UUUAUAUUUGAUAUCAGUGGUCAGAAAGCUACUUUUUUUCAUCAGCAGGUAUAAGUGUCUUGUUGGGUGAGAGAAUCAGGAUCUAAAAAGAUUUCUUCAGGUUUUAAUGAUGGGGUGAAUCUUUAAUGACAUAAUGAUAAAUGUCAAGUCCUACAUUUGGGCUAAAAAAAAAUCAGCUGUUAAGCUGGAGAGGUAAGGUAAGGGGACUGGAGGCAGUGUCAUAUCAUUUGAAAACUGGAUGAAGGAAGCUGGAUAUUUAGUUCAGAUAAGAAAAGACUUUUAAAGAAGGCUUGAUUUUCUGUUUUUAGCUAUUUGAGGUGUCCUAUAGAAGACGGGUUAGUCUUUUCUGUUUGGCCCCAGGGGGUCAAAACAAGGACCAGUGAAUGCAUGGAUGCUAUAAGGAGACACAUUUGGGUUCCAUAUGAGAAAGAACUUCCCAAUAAUUCAGAGCUGUUACAAAACACAACCGGCUGUCUUGGGAGAUGGCAAAUUCUCUAAGAAGUAGGUUUGUUCAAGCAUAGGUUUGAUAACCAUUUGUUGAGAGUAUCCUAGAGGUUUAUUGACGCUUCAGGUAAGGGGUUAAACUAGACGACCUGCCAAUUCCAAGAUUCUGUGAUCUUAAUUGCAUUCCCCACCUCUUAUUCUUUUAGGGAUCAGGAACAUCUGGCUUGCUUCUUCACGAUGUAUCAGGAGAACAUUGUUGGAGCUGAGAUGAUUUGAUUGAUGCAAGCUUGGAAACAAGGGGUUUCUCUGUUCAUGAACUCAAGAAGUUGUGACUAAUUAAGAAGAUGAAGAAUGUAUGUGAUGUACUUUGGAGAUUCGUCUUCAGAUAAUGCAUUUCUUUAGACUGAAGAUACCAAUCUGCAUUUCUCAGGGACUAAGCCGCUUUGAGAGUUGGAAGGGACAUCAGUGGUCAUCUACUCCAACUCAUACACGAAAGGGAUCCCUUAUAACACACCCGACAGGUAUGUUAUCCAGCUUUUGUUGGAAGCCUUUACAGGGUGGGUCAACCCUUUGGGGCACCUGUUACUUUUUGAGACAUCUCUAAUUACUAGUAAGGUUUUCCUGACAUCAAGUUAAAUUUGCCUCUUUGUAACUUCUUACCAUUGCUCCUGCCAUGAAACAAGGACAAUCCCUUCCCUGUGUGAUAGCCAUUAAAAUCCUUGAAAAUAGCUGUCCUCUUCCCCCUUGAGCCUUCUCUCCUCCAAGCUAAACUUCUCCAGUUUUUCUUUCAGUCUGUCUUCACCUGACAUGGACUCAAGGCUCCUUAGCAUCCUGGUUGCCCUUCUCUGGAUAUUCUCCCGCUUAUCAGUAUCUUCUGCUUUAAAUAGUGGCACGCAGAGCUGAACACGGUACUGCAGAUGAGGUCUGACAAGGGCAGAGUAUAUAUAGUAUCAUCUCUGUGUUCCUGGCAGCUAUGCCCCUCUUAAUUAAGCCCAAGAUUGCAUUAGCUUUUUUGGCUGCCACAUCACACUGCUGACUCAUAUUGAGUUUGUCGUCCACUAAAAUGCUCAGAUCUUUUUUGGAACAGUUGCUGUAUAAUGAUGUUGCCCCAUCUUAUACUUGUGGAAUUGAUUAUUAACCUAAAUUCAAGACUUGACAUCUACCAAUGUUUAAUUUCAUCUUAAUGGAUUCAGCCCACUGCUCUAGCCUGUCAAGAUCCUUUUGGAUACUGUAUAAUCUAGUGUGUUAGCAAUCCCUGCUAACUUUGCAUUAUUUGCAAAUUUUAUUAGUAUAUCAUGGUACUUUCAUCCAAGGCAUUUAUAAGAAUGUUAGAACAAGGUCAAGUUCAAUUAACUACUAGUCUUGUGUGUGCGUGUGUGUGGCAAUUGGGGUUAAGUGACUUUACCAGGGUCACACAGCUAGUAAGUGUCAAGUAUCUGAG